UUAACUCAAAUUCGUACGGAGUUGGAACGUUUGCCUACGUUUGCCGCUAGGGGUGCUAUUCGAACUGCAUACAUAUAAGAGUUA
RNAcentral lists this microRNA precursor (84 nucleotides) under Bombyx mori (domestic silkworm). RNAcentral's name for it is "mir-2807 microRNA precursor family". It matches the Rfam family "mir-2807 microRNA precursor family". Lineage: Eukaryota; Metazoa; Arthropoda; Insecta; Lepidoptera; Bombycidae. The record is from Rfam by way of RNAcentral.